GUGGGGAAUUUUGGACAAUGGGCGCAAGCCUGAUCCAGCAAUGCCGCGUGCAGGAAGAAGGCCUUCGGGUUGUAAACUGCUUUUGUACGGAACGAAACGGUCCUGGCUAAUAUCCGGGGCUAAUGACGGUACCGUAAGAAUAAGCACCGGCUAACUACGUGCCAGCAGCCGCGGUAAUACGUAGGGUGCGAGCGUUAAUGGGAAUUACUGGGCGUAAAGCGUGCGCAGGCUGUGCUGUAAGACAGGCGUGAAAUCCCGGGGCUCAACCUGGGGAUUGCGCUUGUGACUGCAGUGCUGGAGUGCGGCAGAGGGGGAUGGAAUUCCGCGUGUAGCAGUGAAAUGCGUAGAUAUGCGGAGGAACACCGAUGGCGAAGGCAAUCCCCUGGGCCUGCACUGACGCUCAUGCACGAAAGCGUGGGGAGCAAACAGGAUUAGAUACCCGAGUAGUCC
RNAcentral lists this ribosomal RNA (450 nucleotides) under uncultured bacterium. RNAcentral's name for it is "partial 16S ribosomal RNA". It matches the Rfam family "Bacterial small subunit ribosomal RNA", at positions 354 to 796 of the family's 1533-position model. The record is from RNAcentral.